Non-coding RNA from Nicotiana tabacum (common tobacco), 203 nucleotides. Lineage: Eukaryota; Viridiplantae; Streptophyta; Magnoliopsida; Solanales; Solanaceae. The record is from RefSeq and is a predicted model, not a curated record.
AUUUCUCCCUUUUUUGUGACUCCUGAAUAAUGCAAAUCAUAUAUGCAGGGUGCUGAGCUAAUGGAAGAAAACAAGCAACUGAAACAGAAAAUGGCAAUGAUGAAUGAAGGAAAGUUGCCCUUACUCACAGACUUGGAUUGCAUGGUAAUGGAAGAAGGCCAGUCUUCUGAUCAGUCUAUUACUACCAAUGUCUCUACUAGUGG